This 1101-nucleotide ribosomal RNA is filed under the name Cellulosimicrobium funkei. Its description in RNAcentral is "bacterial SSU rRNA". It matches the Rfam family "Bacterial small subunit ribosomal RNA", at positions 359 to 1471 of the family's 1533-position model. The record is from RNAcentral. Lineage: Bacteria; Bacillati; Actinomycetota; Actinomycetes; Micrococcales; Promicromonosporaceae.
GAAUAUUCCCCAAGGGCGAAAACCUGAUGAAGGACCCCGCGGAGGGAUGAAGGCCUUUCGGGUUGUAAACCUUCUUCAGCAGGGAAGAAGCGCAAGGGACGGUACCUGCAGAAGAAGCGCCGGCUAAUUACGUGCCAGCAGCCGCGGUAAUACGUAGGGCGCAAGCGUUGUCCGGAAUUAUUGGGCGUAAAGAGCUCGUAGGCGGUUUGUCGCGUCUGGUGUGAAAACUCGAGGCUCAACCUCGAGCUUGCAUCGGGUACGGGCAGACUAGAGUGCGGUAGGGGAGACUGGAAUUCCUGGUGUAGCGGUGGAAUGCGCAGAUAUCAGGAGGAACACCGAUGGCGAAGGCAGGUCUCUGGGCCGCAACUGACGCUGAGGAGCGAAAGCAUGGGGAGCGAACAGGAUUAGAUACCCUGGUAGUCCAUGCCGUAAACGUUGGGCACUAGGUGUGGGGCUCAUUCCACGAGUUCCGUGCCGCAGCAAACGCAUUAAGUGCCCCGCCUGGGGAGUACGGCCGCAAGGCUAAAACUCAAAGGAAUUGACGGGGGCCCGCACAAGCGGCGGAGCAUGCGGAUUAAUUCGAUGCAACGCGAAGAACCUUACCAAGGCUUGACAUGCACGGGAAGCCACCAGAGAUGGUGGUCUCUUUGGACACUCGUGCACAGGUGGUGCAUGGUUGUCGUCAGCUCGUGUCGUGAGAUGUUGGGUUAAGUCCCGCAACGAGCGCAACCCUCGUCCCAUGUUGCCAGCGGGUUAUGCCGGGGACUCAUGGGAGACUGCCGGGGUCAACUCGGAGGAAGGUGGGGAUGACGUCAAAUCAUCAUGCCCCUUAUGUCUUGGGCUUCACGCAUGCUACAAUGGCCGGUACAAAGGGCUGCGAUACCGUAAGGUGGAGCGAAUCCCAAAAAGCCGGUCUCAGUUCGGAUUGGGGUCUGCAACUCGACCCCAUGAAGUCGGAGUCGCUAGUAAUCGCAGAUCAGCAACGCUGCGGUGAAUACGUUCCCGGGCCUUGUACACACCGCCCGUCAAGUCACGAAAGUCGGUAACACCCGAAGCCCAUGGCCCAACCGUUCGCGGGGGGAGUGGUCGAAGGUGUACCGG